RNAcentral lists this ribosomal RNA (465 nucleotides) under uncultured Klebsiella sp. RNAcentral's name for it is "bacterial SSU rRNA". It matches the Rfam family "Bacterial small subunit ribosomal RNA", at positions 338 to 795 of the family's 1533-position model. The record is from RNAcentral. Lineage: Bacteria; Pseudomonadati; Pseudomonadota; Gammaproteobacteria; Enterobacterales; Enterobacteriaceae.
CCUACGGGAGGCUGCAGUGGGGAAUAUUGCACAAUGGGCGCAAGCCUGAUGCAGCCAUGCCGCGUGUGUGAAGAAGGCCUUCGGGUUGUAAAGCACUUUCAGCGGGGAGGAAGGCGGUGAGGUUAAUAACCUCAUCGAUUGACGUUACCCGCAGAAGAAGCACCGGCUAACUCCGUGCCAGCAGCCGCGGUAAUACGGAGGGUGCAAGCGUUAAUCGGAAUUACUGGGCGUAAAGCGCACGCAGGCGGUCUGUCAAGUCGGAUGUGAAAUCCCCGGGCUCAACCUGGGAACUGCAUUCGAAACUGGCAGGCUAGAGUCGUGUAGAGGGGGGUAGAAUUCCAGGUGUAGCGGUGAAAUGCGUAGAGAUCUGGAGGAAUACCGGUGGCGAAGGCGGCCCCCUGGAUAAAGACUGACGCUCAGGUGCGAAAGCGUGGGGAGCAAACAGGAUUAGAUACCCGUGUAGUC